This 1713-nucleotide long non-coding RNA is filed under the name Carica papaya (papaya). RNAcentral's name for it is "long non-coding RNA (CPAP_LNC010576)". Lineage: Eukaryota; Viridiplantae; Streptophyta; Magnoliopsida; Brassicales; Caricaceae. The record is from RNAcentral.
UAUUAUAUUUCCACCUACACAAAUUUUUGUUUAUGGUCAGUUAUUGACACCUAAACAAAAAUGACAUGAACCUUUGAAUUUUAGUAGAGACCAAAGAAACUUGAAUAAGAAAACUGGAGGUGACAUGUUGCAGGUCCCGGAAAAAAAACUUCACCACUUUUUUUUCUCUGGAUGUGAUGAAUCUUCAACUUUUGGUCCACCUGUGUUUUUUUGCAUGUGGCCACGGAGAUAAUAUAUGAUUUGCUAAUAUGGGUCGAUGUCUUGUCAGCAAAUCUCCUCUCAUCCAUAAAGCAUUUGUUUUUUGAGUAGAUGUCCAUAAAACAUUUAAGUGGAUGAGAAGAGAUUAGAUUCCCUCCUCUUUCUUUUCACCUUCCCCUUGUUUGCUUUUACCCCCUUCUAAUUUCUCUCUCCCUCGGUUAAUCUCAUCCACCUAAAUUCACUCCCGAACUAUCAUCUUAUGUGGCAGAUAAGCAUGGAGAAUAUAGCCAUAACCUGUUCUAGUGGUUAUCUUCUCCAGUGGCCCAUUAUCUCAUUAUGGAAACUGUUGACCAUUCGUGCAGUAAUAUGUAUGUUGGCACUACUUACCUUGUUGCCUUAUAUUGGACUCUGCAUAGAUUUCCAUCACACCCGCAACAUGGAUUAAUAAUACCUUACGUAGUUUGCAUGCGGACAUCUCUUCGUUCAUUCUUUACAACCUGCAUUAAGAUACAUCCGAGGCUGAAACAGUAUCGUAAUAAAGAGUAACACAAAAAAUUAAUAACAUGUUGUGCAGGUGCCCGUUGCUUCCUUGGUGGGUAAAACAAUUGGACUCUACUUCUCCGCCCAGUGGGGUGUUCCAUGUGUGAAGUUCACUCCCAAGCUUGUGUCUGUCUACCAGAAGAUUAAGCAAACGAUGAUAGAAAAUGCAGACGAAGACUUUGAGAUAGUUUUCGUGUCAAUGGAUCGCGAGCAAGCAGAAUUUCAGUCCUAUAUUAGUGUCAUGCCUUGGCUAGCAUUGCCAUUUGGAGACCCGAGCAUCAAAGACCUCGCUAAGCAUUUUGAUGUAAAAUGUAUCCCUUGCUUGAUCAUUUUAGGCCCUGAUGGCAAAACUGUCACCAAACAAGGGAGAAACCUUAUAAAUCUGUACCAAGAAAAGGCAUACCCUUUUACUAAGGCCAAAGUGGAAUUGCUCGAGAAGCAAAUGGAGGAAGAAGCAAAGAACCUACCAGUGUCGGUUCAGCAUGAAGGACACCGGCAUGAGCUGGGUUUGGUGUCUGAGGGAACAGGAGGUGGUCCCUUCAUAUGCUGCAAUUGCGAUGAGCAAGGUUCGGGUUGGGCUUACCAAUGUCUGGAAUGUGGGUAUGAGGUGCACCCCAAGUGCGUGAGAUCUGUGAGCGGUGGCUCCUUGGUUGGAAGGUGACCGAACCUCCAUGGUUUGCUAAUGUUGCUAAUUAAUUCAGAUUCCGUUUCCAUAUUGUAAUGUGUUUAUUCCGCAAGAAAGGUGUUGGUUGUUGUUUUCAUCUGUUCACUUAACGGAUGGGAAAUUCAAAAUUUCCCUGUUGGGACAUGUUAUGUGCUUCAAAUUUCUCCUGUGUAACAAAGAUAUAAGAACAGAAUUUACCUGAUUGCAAGCGAGAAAAUUAGGCAACUGCUGGAAUCCCGUGCUGUGGGUUUCUUCUUCAGGCGCCAAUAAGUAGGUUUUGGAGAUCGAUUAGCACCAUCCAUCACUCGGCA